RNAcentral lists this long non-coding RNA (789 nucleotides) under Citrus x clementina. Its description in RNAcentral is "Citrus clementina (C. clementina) long non-coding RNA (CCLE_LNC003046)". Lineage: Eukaryota; Viridiplantae; Streptophyta; Magnoliopsida; Sapindales; Rutaceae. The record is from RNAcentral.
UUAUAAUUGCCCACAUCAAAUCACAAUUUUAAUAUAUAAUCUAAUCUAAUAUUUGCUAUUGAUUUGCUUCGACUUAACUAUUGUGUUGUAAAAGGAAUAGUCCACAUUUAUAAAGUGCCCACGCCACCAUUGAAAAGUUAAUUUUGAAUCUAAAUUUGAUUUUAUUUGUAACAAUUUUGUAUUAGGCUAUUAAUUUGUUCAUGAUAGUUUGUAUCCCUUGCAUGCUGCGUUACUUACUAAUUAAUGUAUGUGACUUUUGAAAUGGAUAUUAAUGUAAGAUAUAUUUCGAACUUUACUUUUAUUUGAAUUUUUUUAUUUUAAUAUGCUUAACUUAAAAUCGAAAACAAAAAAAAAAUGUAUUAGUUAGAUCGGGGACCCUCGGGGAUCCCCUGUUAUUAUUCGGGGAGGGGAUUGAGAUUCUCUUAAAUAAUUUUGAUGGAGAUUGGGAGGAGACGGGGAUAGACGCAAAAUAUCGGGGAUGAGUACGGGGAGAUUGGUCCCCUCCCCUCCCCUCCCCAUUGCCAUCCAGACUAUUUUGAUGGUUGGAUAUGGGCAUUUCAAGUAGAAUUUUGUGAAAUAACAUAAAUACCAUUCAACAUUUUGCUACUUUCCACAUUCCAUCUACAGAAUAUCAAAUUAAGAAAAAAAGGCAUGUGUUUAUUGAAAAUAGAAACAAGGAUACUUCUAUCUCCAAAAUUUAGAGAAAUGAUCAUGUAAACCUUUAAGUUUUCAAUAAGGGACACUAAGACUCCCUUUUGAUUAUAAUACUUUCAAUUAAUAAUAAUUAAA